This 72-nucleotide transfer RNA is filed under the name Sphingobacteriales bacterium. RNAcentral describes it as "tRNA-Met". Lineage: Bacteria; Pseudomonadati; Bacteroidota; Sphingobacteriia; Sphingobacteriales. The record is from RNAcentral.
ACGCGGGUAAACCCGAAAAAUCAAGGACUCAUAAUCCUUUGGUCGUUGGUUCAAGUCCAACACGGCCUACCA